Drosophila santomea is the source of this 2085-nucleotide long non-coding RNA. RefSeq lists it as uncharacterized. The record is from RefSeq and is a predicted model, not a curated record. The transcript is spliced from 3 exons. NCBI's taxonomy places the organism in Eukaryota, Metazoa, Arthropoda, Insecta, Diptera, Drosophilidae.
UAAAUAAUGAAAUAACACUAAUAAUGCAUGUGGAAGUCAGAAUGGUAGAUGCAGGCACCGAAACAAUCCAGCAUUUUUCACAGGAUUCUUCUUCGAAAUGGUGACAAGCUUAAACGCAGAAACUUUGUUAUAUAUUUUGUCCCAUAAAUCCUUGCGCCGGAAAUCUCACACAUAACGGCGGCCAGAACGCUAACAAGAAAAACCGGCUUACCAGCAGCAGACUCGCCACAACCUUCUUUGUCAUCAUCAAAAAUGCCAAGAGAAGCGAAAACCGCCCCGAAAGCAACAAUGACAACUCCAAUGAAUGGCGACAAAUCAGUUAGCUAAAUGUUGCCGAGCCAGGCGUGCGUGCGAUUUGACCGCAGUUUGUGUGAUUCCAUCAUCGAAAAACCAUGCAGAAGGCGAAGGACAAAAGAUCUAGGACAUAAUUGAAAGCGAAAGGCGGCGUGGAGAGCUCUGUCGAGCGGGAGGAGGUGAAAAAUAACUGAAAAUAAUUUUCCAACAUAAAUCCAGGCACGCCAAGUUAUUACAGUAAUUUCGUGAUAAAUGUCCGAUAAAUAGAUGUAUAAGUAGAAGUCCUGUUCGUCGGAAAGCCGGCAUACAUGUCUAAUGAAGUAGCAGCAGAAAUCAUGCUGUGCUAAAACAGCCCACAGUGCGUAUGCGCUAUGCUUGAUGUCCCAUGUCUAAUUGGAUUAAUGAGAUGUUAUUGCACUCUUUCCACCGAAAAUGCUCGCUAUCUGCCCAUUCCAUGGUCGUAAAUAUUCAAAAAUAACAAUGGAUAGUCAGCCAAAGGUCUAUACGAGUAGUCCUCACACAAGCAUAAAUCAAAUUAUUUUCUAUUUAAUUUUGGGAUUUCUUGCGCUGACAAAAACCAAAAGCCGUGAGGCUUAGUUCUCGGCUCCUGAAAUGUUGAGCCAUGCCCACCAUGGACAUCUGACAUGAUUACGAGCGGCGCGUGUUGCUACGAUUGGAUGUACGUAUAUAUUUAGCAUGAAAUAACCCAAUGCUUUUGGAUGGGCGCAAUUUAUGGGCUUAGUAUGCAAAGCUUGGUGCGUGAAAUUUUGGCUUCAAAUGUUUUUAAUAUAUUUUCGCAAACGCACAAAAAUUACUUGUCGGAAAUACAUACAAGGCAUAGCCAAAUGUCAGAAAUAUGGAGCGGAUGCCAGUCUACAGUUUUCGGGAAUCUCAGACAGCAUCUCAAGCAAUUUAUGUUACGCAAGUGACAGACGGAGCGGCGUUAAACGGGGCAUGUUUUAAUGGGUUAAGACUGGAAAAACGUGAACGCGGACUGGGGGUGAUUUUUAACGCGCAAUUGAAGUUUACUGCUGUCCGAAAAUGCGAAAAUGCGUUGUCUUGUCUGUUUUUCACGCUCGUCUGUCCUGGCUGUCCUGGCGAGAUGGAAACAACCGCAAAACAAAACUUUGCAAUUUGCUGCGAGUACAAAUUGGAAAAUCUGCCUCCAGACGGAAGGGGAAUGGUGUCCAGACAAUGCGCACUUAAUGCGCGGCCACGAGCCGAUCCGCUCUUUAAUUGUUGAUUAUACAAAUUGUUUGAAGCCUGCCCAUGGACAAUCGCGUGCAACGAGCCCAUGGUCCGUAGUCCGCGGUCCGUUGCAAGGCCAUAAAAUAUUCAAGUUGAAGAGUUUUCCACAACGGGCACGCACUAAAAACCACAAAUGGUAGAUGAGCAUCCUGCUGGGGAGGUGAAUCCUUCGGUGGAGCCGACAUGGGCAGCAUGCUUGUUGUCAUCCGAGCUGGCCACAUAAAAGUGUAAUUAAGUUCGCGUGUCGCACAUUUAAUUGUUUUUUAAUGAAUGAGGGAGCAAAAAUCAUUGUACACAGCAGCUGCAUUUCAGACGCAUCCGUCCUGGUGGCAAAAGGCGCAACCUUCAGGACUCGAUGCAUUUUCGAUGGUUUUUUUCUGCUCUGCCCUGCACUGGUAACCGUGCGAAAAAUUGUAUUUUUCCCGGCGCCAAAAAUUUAAUUAUUUCCGUUUCUCUGAUUUGUUUGAGGCUCAAAUUGAAAAAAGGGUGGAACAUUUAAAUAUUCCCCGAUCCGGAGCAAUUCUUAUGGCAAACAUUCCACUU